Molecule: ribosomal RNA, 2409 nt
Filed under: Triticum aestivum (bread wheat)
Lineage: Eukaryota; Viridiplantae; Streptophyta; Magnoliopsida; Poales; Poaceae
Description: partial small subunit ribosomal RNA
Source: RNAcentral
AUGGCAUCUCCGCUCCUCUUGCCUGUGCUGUUCCUGCCACUAUUGUUCCCCUCAUCCACCCAAGCUCAGAGAAACAUCACCCUGGGAUCCACUUUGACCCAGGGUCCAACCUUGUCAUUGCUCUCACCAUCUGGCGACUUUGCUUUCGGCUUCCGACCCAUUGAGGGCAAUGCCUCCUUCUACCUCCUCGCCAUCUGGUUCAACAAGAUCAGCGACAAGACGGUCGCUUGGUAUGCCAAGACUGAAGGAACAGUGCAGGUAUCGUCUACCUCUAUCCUCCAACUCACCACAGAUGGAGCAGUCUCGCUUCGUGACCCCUCCAGUGUGGAGGUCUGGAAUCCCCAGGUAACCGGUGUGGCCUCCGCCAGCAUGCGCAAUAGUGGUAACUCUGUGCUCGCUGGUGCGGACGGCAACACAAAAUGGCAGACUUUUGAUGUGCCAUCAGACACCAUCCUGCCUACCCAGGUGCUGCCUUCUAACCAGACUCUCCGUGCUCGACUUGACACCACUGACUAUUCCAAUGGUCGGUUUCUCCUGGAUGUGCAAAGCGAUGGAAACCUUCCCUUCUAUCUCGUUGCUGAGCCCUCCGGCUUCAAGCAUGGUUCUUAUUGGUCCACCGAGACAGCCGGGAAUGGCUCACAACUGGUGUUCAAUGAAACUAGCAGAGUAUACUUCCUCCUAACAAAUGGUACUCAGAUCAACAUCACAUAUGGUGCACUAGGGUCUAUGGCAGACUACUACCACCGUGCUACACUUGACUCGGAUGGUGUUUUCCGGCAAUAUGUAUACCCAAAAAAUCCAAAGUCCAGCAUCUUUAGUGGUGAGGUGUGGAGUGCAGUGAGCUUACUUCCCCAAAAUAUCUGCCAUGCAGUAGUUAUAGCUGUUGGCAGUGGCGUAUGUGGGUUCAAUAGUUACUGCACCUUCGAUGGCACCAAGAACCAGAUAGUAAGUUGUGCCUGCCCACCGCAGUACAAGUUCUUUGAUGAGGAGAGGAAGUACAAAGGAUGCAAACAAGAUUUUCAGCCGCAAAGCUGUGACUUGGAUGAGGCCGCAGCAUUGGCACACUAUGAGCUGCCAAAUUCUGGUGUGGAUUGGCCACUAUCGGAUUACGAGCAGUAUCAGCUCAUAGCAGAGGAUGACUGUGGGAGGCUGUGUCGGAUCGACUGUUUCUGUGCCUUGGCCGUAUAGAAUGAAAGCACAGGCACAUGUUGGAAAAAGAAGCUCCCUUUGUCUAAUGGGAAUAUGGCCGACUAUGUCCAGAGAACAGUGUUUCUCAAGGUGCCAAGUAGCAACAAUUCACAGUCUGCACUCAGUACUGCCUCCAAAAAAUGGAAGCAAGACAAAAAGUAUUGGAUCCUUGGGAGUUCCUUGUUUCUUGGUUGUUCCAUAUUGGUGAACUUUCUCCUCAUCUCUAUUCUGGUGUUUGGUACUUACUGUCAUAUCACCCGAAAGAAGAAUGGUCCGAUGUCCCAAACCUCAAGUACAACUCAGUUUCCCCUGAAGACCUUCACUUACAAAGAGCUGGAGAGAGCAAGCAGUGGUUUCAAUGAGGUCCAUGGUAGUGGUGCCUAUGGUGUUGUGUACAAGGGUGAGUUGCAAGAUGAGCUCCGGACCCACAUCGUUGUCAAGAAGAUCGACAAGCUGCAAGAAGAAACUGAAAAGGAGUUCACGGUGGAAGUCCAAACCAUUGGACAAACAUUCCACAAGAAUCUGGUCCGGCUGCUUUGUUUCUGCAGUGAAGGAACUGAAAGACUGCUAGUUUAUGAGUUCAUGACCAAUGGCUCACUCAACCGGCUUCUCUUUGCCGACGUACGGUCAAAUUGGAACACACGGGUUCAUAUCGCACUUGGGGUGGCAAGAGGGUUGCUCUACUUGCAUGAAGAGUGUAGCACACAAAUCAUCCAUGACAUGAAGCCACAUACAAUUCUUCUUGACGACAACCUUGUUGCAAAGAUUUCAGACUUUGGCCUAGCGAAGCUUCUCUUGAGAAAUCAGACAAGGACAAACACUGGUAUUAGAGGUACUCGAGGAUAUGUCGCCCCUGAGUGGUUCAAGAACAUCGGGAUCACUGCCAAGGUCGAUGUCUACAGCUUUGGAGUGAUCCUACUGGAGCUUGUCUGCUGCAGAAGAAAUGUUGAUUUGGAGGUAGUUGAUGAGGAGCAGACCAUACUGACUUACUGGGCAAAUGACUGUUAUAGGUGUCGGAGGCUCGACCUGCUGGUGGAGGGUGACGAUGACGCGAUCUUCAACAUUAAGAAGGUGGAAAGAUUUCUAUCAGUAGCACUAUGGUGCCUCCAGGAGGACCCGACCAUGCGACCCAACACGCUGAAGGUGACACAAAUGCUAGAUGGAGCGGUUGCAAUCCCCAUUCCUCCAGAUCCUUUCUCAUUCAUCAGUUCGCUUCCAUAA